CCAGCCGCCGCGGUAAGACGGAGGAUGCAAGCGUUAUCCGGAAUGAUUGGGCGUAAAGCGUCCGCAGGUGGCAGUUCAAGUCUGCUGUCAAAGACCGGGGCUCAACCUCGGAAAGGCAGUGGAAACUGAACAGCUAGAGUAUGGUAGGGGCAAAGGGAAUUCCUGGUGUAGCGGUGAAAUGCGUAGAGAUCAGGAAGAACAUCGGUGGCGAAGGCGCUUUGCUGGACCAUAACUGACACUCAGGGACGAAAGCUAGGGGAGCGAAUGGGAUUAGAUACCCCAGUAGUCCUAGCCGUAAACGAUGGAUACUAGGUGUUGUCUGUAUCGACCCGGACAGUGCCGUAGCUAACGCGUUAAGUAUCCCGCCUGGGGAGUACGCAGGCAACUGUGAAACUCAAAGGAAUUGACGGGGGCCCGCACAAGCGGUGGAGUAUGUGGUUUAAUUCGAUGCAACGCGAAGAACCUUACCAGGACUUGACAUGUCGCGAAUCUUUUGGAAACAGAAGAGUGCCUUAGGGAGCGCGAACACAGGUGGUGCAUGGCUGUCGUCAGCUCGUGUCGUGAGAUGUUGGGUUAAGUCCCGCAACGAGCGCAACCCUCGUGUUUAGUUGCCAUCAUUAAGUUGGGAACUCUAAACAGACUGCCGGUGACAAACCGGAGGAAGGUGGGGAUGACGUCAAGUCAGCAUGCCCCUUACGUCCUGGGCUACACACGUACUACAAUGGUAGGGACAGAGGGCAGCCAACUCGCGAGAGUGAGCUAAUCCCGUAAACCCUGCCUCAGUUCAGAUUGCAGGCUGCAACUCGCCUGCAUGAAGGCGGAAUCGCUAGUAAUCGCAGGUCAGCAUACUGCGGUGAAUCCGUUCCCGGGCCUUGUACACACCGCCCGUCACACCAUGGAAGUUGGCCACGCCCGAAGUCAUUACUCUAACCUUUCGAGGGGGAGGAUGCCGAAGGCAGGGCUGAUGACUGGGGUGAAGUCGUAACAAGGUAACCAAG
RNAcentral lists this ribosomal RNA (998 nucleotides) under uncultured cyanobacterium. RNAcentral describes it as "bacterial SSU rRNA". It matches the Rfam family "Bacterial small subunit ribosomal RNA", at positions 508 to 1504 of the family's 1533-position model. The record is from RNAcentral. Lineage: Bacteria; Bacillati; Cyanobacteriota.